Molecule: unclassified non-coding RNA, 275 nt
Filed under: plant metagenome
Description: partial contains small subunit ribosomal RNA, internal transcribed spacer 1, and 5.8S ribosomal RNA
Rfam family: Eukaryotic small subunit ribosomal RNA (bases 1-54)
Source: RNAcentral
GGAAGCAAAAGUCGUAACAAGGUUUCCGUAGGUGAACCUGCGGAAGGAUCACUACUGAGUUUUGAAUGAAGUUGUUCUGGUCUUUCGGGGCAAGUGAACGCUUCUCUCAAUCCAUCUUACACCUGUGCACCUAUCGGGGAAGACUUGGAUCUAAGUUGGGUCACGACGGCGAUCUACAGUCUCCUCUUUAUACCAAAUAACAGUUUUAGAAAGUCUUUUUUGCUUGAUGCAAACUUAAAUAAAUACAACUUUCAGCAACGGAUCUCUUGGCUCUC